GAUCAUGGCUCAGGACGAACGCUGGCGGCGUGCUUAACACAUGCAAGUCGAGCGGAAAGGCCACUUCGGUGGUACUCGAGCGGCGAACGGGUGAGUAACACGUGAGUAAUCUGCCCUUGGCUUUGGGAUAGCCACCGGAAACGGUGAUUAAUACCGAAUAUGCACUACUUCUCGCAUGGGUUGUGGUGGAAAGUUUUUCGGCCAGGGAUGUGCUCGCGGCCUAUCAGCUUGAUGGUGAGGUAA
This 243-nucleotide ribosomal RNA is filed under the name uncultured bacterium. RNAcentral describes it as "partial 16S ribosomal RNA". It matches the Rfam family "Bacterial small subunit ribosomal RNA", at positions 15 to 260 of the family's 1533-position model. The record is from RNAcentral.